This 374-nucleotide ribosomal RNA is filed under the name uncultured prokaryote. RNAcentral describes it as "bacterial SSU rRNA". It matches the Rfam family "Bacterial small subunit ribosomal RNA", at positions 524 to 896 of the family's 1533-position model. The record is from RNAcentral.
UACGAAGGUUGCAAGCGUUGUUCGGAAUUACUGGGCUUAAAGCGUAUGUAGGCGGAUGAGUAAGCGUUUUGUGAAAUCCCUCGGCUUAACCGAGGAAUUGCUUGGCGAACUGCUCAUCUUGAGGCAGAUAGGGGUACAUGGAACUCUUGGUGGAGCGGUGGAAUGCGUAGAUAUCAAGAGGAACGCCAGCGGCGAAAGCGGUGUACUGGAUUUGUCCUGACGCUCAGAUACGAAAGCGUGGGGAGCACACGAGAUUAGAUAGCCCGGUAGUGAACGCCCUAAACGAUGCCUACUAGGUUGUAGGACCUCUGACGGUGUUACGGCCGAAGCAAAAGUGUUAAGUAGGCCGCCUGGGAAGUACGGUCGCAAGGCUA